Molecule: ribosomal RNA, 413 nt
Filed under: uncultured prokaryote
Description: bacterial SSU rRNA
Rfam family: Bacterial small subunit ribosomal RNA
Source: RNAcentral
GUGUCAGCAGCCGCGGUAAUACGUAGGUCCCGAACGUUGCGCGAAUUUACUGGGCGUAAAGGGUCCGUAGGCGGUUGUGUAAGUCCAGGGUUGAAGGCCCCGGCUCAACCGGGGAGAGGCCCUGGAGACUGCAUGACUUGAGUGAGCGAGGGGAGGGCGGAAUUCCUGGUGUAGCGGUGAAAUGCGUAGAUAUCAGGAGGAAGGCCUGUGGCGAAGGCGGCCCUCUGGCGCUCAACUGACGCUGAGGCGCGAAAGCGUGGGUAGCAAACAGGAUUAGAUACCCUGGUAGUCCACGCCCUAAACGGUGGGCACUAGGUGUGGGGCUCGAGAGGGUUCCGUGCCGAAGGGAAACCAAUAAGUGCCCCGCCUGGGGAGUACGGCCGCAAGGUUGAAACUCAAAUGAAUUGACGGGG